CGCAAGACUUCAAAUUUAACUUAAAAACGUUGUUUUGGCGCCAAGCUGCUGUUUCUUUGAGAGGUAAGACCACUUUUUUCUUUGACUAUGUUGUGUAGUAUCUACAUGUCGAGCAUGGUUAUAUUUUGCGUUUGUCUUAUAAGACAUGUUAUAUCGUUUGCGUGCGCUUGUUCUACAUUAGUUUUACUGGGUCCUGGACAUGCUUAUUUUGUGGACUGUAUCCUGCCUUUACCUGCUCCCUCCUAUACUGAUGUGGUGUAUGUGGUACCGCUGAGCUUGUAUGUGAUCUGAACCAUUGUAAAGGUUGCAGUUCAAGGGCCUGAGGUGGAAGCAGAAUUUGUGAGGAUUACUACUGCUCCACUUGUUCCAAGGCUUUUUGCACAACUUGACCAAUACACUGACCAGCUCAUAAAAGUCUUCAAGAAAAAAGGAGGCACUGCAGUGAAGAAAAUUAGACAAAUUUUGGCCCCAGCCACACAGGAAACUAUUGAAAAGGGGAGGGAGUGUGUCCUCAGGGCACUACCUUUCUACCUGAAUGAAGACCCAAGCAUCCUCUUCAAAGAAUAAUUGCUACAGCUACAGCUUUUCAGAGGGAGCUGGAACAAAUUGCCCUUGCUAUCUUCACUAUUGAAAAAGCUGAUGUCAGCACUCCUCCAGCCGAUGUGGGUAUAACCAUCUAGGGUGUUCUGCAUGACCUGGAAGACAUGGCCUCUGCAUGUGCACUCUUAAUGGGUGGGAUAUAUGCACUGAAUCUCAGUUAACCUCGAGACUGAAAGCUUUCUUUGAAGUACUUCAGAAGCUCUUCCUUCAUCUGUAUGUCAGCAGACUCUUGACCAAGGUACAGAUACUCAAGAAUAAACUGAACGAAUAAGCCAAUCCUUAAUUUGGAUGAUGAAUGUUCUGUCAGAUGGACAGAAGUUUUUCAGAGGCUGAAUGGGAAUAAAACGGUAAUUUGUUGAAAAUGACAGA
This is a long non-coding RNA of Oreochromis aureus, 969 nucleotides long. RefSeq lists it as uncharacterized. The transcript has 6 exons. The record is from RefSeq and is a predicted model, not a curated record. Lineage: Eukaryota; Metazoa; Chordata; Actinopteri; Cichliformes; Cichlidae.